Molecule: ribosomal RNA, 1176 nt
Filed under: Triticum aestivum (bread wheat)
Lineage: Eukaryota; Viridiplantae; Streptophyta; Magnoliopsida; Poales; Poaceae
Description: partial small subunit ribosomal RNA
Source: RNAcentral
AUGACAGCCGACGAUCUCAAGAAGCUCGAGGCCGAGUUGAAGGAACGCGAGUCUCUCCUGCAGACUCGCCAGGAAGAACUUGAUCGUUGCGCCGCCGAGAUGGGCAAAGCUCCCGCAACCUCCCCAGCAGCCUCCACGCCCAGCCCUUCCAUUUAUGCCACCUCCAUCAAACUUCAUGUACCCAUCACCCUCGACCUGACCGCCUCCAACUACACCAACUGGCACGAGCUGUUCCUCGUCGCCCUUGGCCGCUAUGGCCUUACAGCUCAUGUCAUCGGCGAUGCCGGCACUACUCCCUCCGACACUUCGCCGGCUUCGGAUUGGGGCCGCGACGACUACACGGUUCUCUCUUGGAUCUAUGGCUCUAUCUCCAUCGACCUCUUCGGCAUCGUCAUGCGCCCCGGCUCCACCGCGCGCACGAUCUGGGACGCCAUCGAGAAUAUCUUCCACGACAAUAAAAAGCACCGGGCAAUCCAGCUGGAAGCAGAGUUCAGGAACACCCCGCAAGGCGAUAUGACCGUCGGUGACUACUGCACAAAGCUCAAGUCCCUUGCUGAUUCUCUAGUGGAUGUUGGCCAGACGAUCAGCGACGAAACACUCGUCCUCACCCUCCUGCGUGGCCUCAACGACAGUUUCGCCCACCUCCGCUCGUUUCUUCCGUUCCAGGUGCCCUUCCCCUCGUUCCUGCAGACCCGCUCGGCGUUGAUCCUUGAAGAGAGCCAGAAGAAAACUGAUGCCAAGAACGCGGCAUCCACUGCCCUUUGGGCUAGCGGGAAUAGCAUCACCCCGAGCGCUGGCGGUGAACAUGCUCCUCUCCCUAUCUCCGGGGGCGUCGGCUCUGGAGGGCGUGGAACGGGCUCCACCUUCAACCGCGGCAGUGGCCGUGGACGUGGCGGACGCGGUGGACGUGGCCGCGGCCGCGACAAUCCAUGGCAGUUCAACCCAUGGACGGGUGCUCCGACGCGAGCAUAUCUUCAGCAACAACACACACAGGCUCCAUGGCAGCAGCCCUCCUCUUCCUGGCAGUCACGUCCGUGGCAGGCUCCUGCUCCAGGUCUACUUGGUCCUCGCCCCAACACUGCUCCUCAAGCUUACACUGCGUACGGCCAUGCCAACAACAACUCCAACAUGCUGCAGCACCUUCAUCAAGCUCGGCGGUCGACCCUGCGCUUCUAG